CGGACGGGUGAGUAAUGUCUGGGAAACUGCCUGGUGGAGGGGGAUAACUACUGGAAACGGUAGCUAAUACCGCAUAACGUCGCAAGACCAAAGAGGGGGACCUUCGGGCCUCUUGCCAUCGGAUGUGCCCAGAUGGGAUUAGCUAGUAGGUGGGGUAAAGGCUCACCUAGGCGACGAUCCCUAGCUGGUCUGAGAGGAUGACCAGCCACACUGGAACUGAGACACGGUCCAG
This 232-nucleotide ribosomal RNA is filed under the name uncultured bacterium. Its description in RNAcentral is "partial 16S ribosomal RNA". It matches the Rfam family "Bacterial small subunit ribosomal RNA", at positions 99 to 334 of the family's 1533-position model. The record is from RNAcentral.